This 427-nucleotide ribosomal RNA is filed under the name Enterobacter cloacae. RNAcentral's name for it is "bacterial SSU rRNA". It matches the Rfam family "Bacterial small subunit ribosomal RNA", at positions 102 to 525 of the family's 1533-position model. The record is from RNAcentral. Lineage: Bacteria; Pseudomonadati; Pseudomonadota; Gammaproteobacteria; Enterobacterales; Enterobacteriaceae.
ACGGGUGAGUAAUGUCUGGGAAACUGCCUGAUGGAGGGGGAUAACUACUGGAAACGGUAGCUAAUACCGCAUAACGUCGCAAGACCAAAGAGGGGGACCUUCGGGCCUCUUGCCAUCAGAUGUGCCCAGAUGGGAUUAGCUAGUAGGUGGGGUAACGGCUCACCUAGGCGACGAUCCCUAGCUGGUCUGAGAGGAUGACCAGCCACACUGGAACUGAGACACGGUCCAGACUCCUACGGGAGGCAGCAGUGGGGAAUAUUGCACAAUGGGCGCAAGCCUGAUGCAGCCAUGCCGCGUGUAUGAAGAAGGCCUUCGGGUUGUAAAGUACUUUCAGCGGGGAGGAAGGUGUUGUGGUUAAUAACCGCAGCAAUUGACGUUACCCGCAGAAGAAGCACCGGCUAACUCCGUGCCAGCAGCCGCGGUAAUA